GACGAACGCUGGCGGCGUGCUUAACACAUGCAAGUCGUACGGUAAGGCCCUUUCGGGGGUACACGAGUGGCGCACGGGUGAGUAACACGUGAGUAACCUGCCCACAACUUUGGGAUAACGCUAGGAAACUGGUGCUAAUACUGGAUAUGUGCUCCUGCUGCAUGGUGGGGGUUGGAAAGCUCCGGCGGUUGUGGAUGGACUCGCGGCCUAUCAGCUUGUUGGUGGGGUAGUGGCCCACCAAGGCGGCGAAGGGUAGCCGGCCUGAGAGGGUGACCGGCCACAUUGGGACUGAGAUACGGCCCAGACUCCUACGGGAGGCAGCAGUGGGGAAUAUUGCACAAUGGGCGCAAGCCUGAUGCAGCAACGCCGCGUGCGGGAUGACGGCCUUCGGGUUGUAAACCGCUUUCAGCAGGGACGAAGCUUUUUGUGACGGUACCUGCAGAAGAAGCACCGGCUAACUACGUG
RNAcentral lists this ribosomal RNA (465 nucleotides) under uncultured bacterium. RNAcentral describes it as "partial 16S ribosomal RNA". It matches the Rfam family "Bacterial small subunit ribosomal RNA", at positions 28 to 507 of the family's 1533-position model. The record is from RNAcentral.